UACGAAGGGGGCUAGCGUUGUUCGGAAUCACUGGGCGUAAAGCGCACGUAGGCGGAUUUUUAAGUCGGGGGUGAAAUCCUGAGGCUCAACCUCAGAACUGCCUUCGAUACUGGCGAUCUUAGAGUCCGGGAGAGGUGAGUGGAACUCCUAGUGUAGAGGUGAAAUUCGUAGAUAUUAGGAAGAACACCAGUGGCGAAGGCGGCUCACUGGCCCGGUACUGACGCUGAUGUGCGAAAGCGUGGGGAGCAAACAGG
This 254-nucleotide ribosomal RNA is filed under the name uncultured bacterium. Its description in RNAcentral is "partial 16S ribosomal RNA". It matches the Rfam family "Bacterial small subunit ribosomal RNA", at positions 524 to 776 of the family's 1533-position model. The record is from RNAcentral.